UACGUAGGGAGCAAGCGUUGUUCGGAUUUACUGGGCGUAAAGGGCGCGUAGGCGGCCUGUCAAGUCAACUGUGAAAUCUCCGGGCUUAACUCGGAACGGCCAGUUGAUACUGUCAGGCUAGAGUGCAGAAGGGGCAAUCGGAAUUCUUGGUGUAGCGGUGAAAUGCGUAGAUAUCAAGAGGAACACCUGAGGUGAAGACGGGUUGCUGGGCUGACACUGACGCUGAGGCGCGAAAGCCAGGGGAGCAAACGGG
This 253-nucleotide ribosomal RNA is filed under the name uncultured bacterium. RNAcentral describes it as "partial 16S ribosomal RNA". It matches the Rfam family "Bacterial small subunit ribosomal RNA", at positions 524 to 776 of the family's 1533-position model. The record is from RNAcentral.